CCACCGCAACUCUAUCGUUCCCUUUGGUCGUUAGUAUCCUUCAUCACUUGUUUCGUUGGAAGUGCGAGGUAGGAUGGUGCUUAUAGGCGAUCUGGCAGCCCUUGUGCCCUCGGCUCGUAUUAGGGUGGUUUGCAGGUACGGGGAACACACCCACGACCAUGUAACAACAUCAACAAGGGGAUGUAAACCCGAAAUUUUCAUUUGUGUGCGUGUGUGUGUAUGUUUGUGUAGUAGGUCAACAUUUUGCGAGGUAUGUGUGUGUAUUUGUUACAUAUCGAUCUGGGCCUGGCACCCGGAAGCAGAAAUCACACCAGGCGCCGUCGUACGCCUGACCAACGAUGCUUCAUAACUUGCUUUGGAACCGAACGCAAAUAUGUUCGGUUUUCAUCAAAACAGCAGGCGUGUUCGGUCACAAGUGGACUUCAAAUUCAUGCCUGCACCCUCGGCCUACCGGCGAGAAGCUGACAUGGCGACGGUCCAGGAGCAAUCGAGGAGCUUACAGGCACAGUUCUUUAUCUUUGACAGUCGUGUCAGAAAGCUUGGAGAUGCUGUCUUCCGGUAUUGAGGUUAACCCAUGACUGUUCAUGCUGGCUUGUUGAACACGCUCUGCUUAACUUUGAUGGCAUGCCGUAUAAAUUUGCUCGGGUGCAUACUGCUGCUACGCCGUCCGUUGCAUAGCUACCAAAGCCGCUCCUGCGCAGGGAAGCGAGAAGGUGAUCAAGCGUUAUGCUAUAGAGGUGUGAUGGGAAGAGAGGAGGAUGACAAAGGCUGUGUAAACGUUGCCCACUUGCGUAUUCCCCUGGCGGCGUCGUAGCGACGAACUAAACAUGUUCGCGAGAUAUCUUCCCUGCGAACAUGUUACUGGAAUUUACAUGCUUUGUGGGCCUGAUGGGCCUGUACGUCAUUCUAUUGUGCGCACAAGUUGUUAUAUGGCGCGAAGAAUGCGAUUACAACAAAUGUCAUAUGCUGAGUCUGUGAUCUUUCAAACAUUAGCCUGUAUCCACAGAUUGGUGUUUCUUUGCAACCCAAUCCAUCGCUUUCGGGCGCAGCAAAGCCUCAAUACUAUAAAUAAAAGACUUUAAUAUGCCGGUCAUUGUUCUUAAGGUAGCUAAUCCCGUCGAGACGGA
RNAcentral lists this long non-coding RNA (1127 nucleotides) under Volvox carteri. RNAcentral describes it as "long non-coding RNA (VCAR_LNC002437)". Lineage: Eukaryota; Viridiplantae; Chlorophyta; Chlorophyceae; Chlamydomonadales; Volvocaceae. The record is from RNAcentral.